Molecule: ribosomal RNA, 253 nt
Filed under: uncultured bacterium
Lineage: Bacteria
Description: partial 16S ribosomal RNA
Rfam family: Bacterial small subunit ribosomal RNA
Source: RNAcentral
UACGAAGGGGGCUAGCGUUGCUCGGAAUGACUGGGCGUAAAGGGCGCGUAGGCGGUUUGUACAGUCAGGUGUGAAAUUCCCGGGCUCAACCUGGGGGCUGCACUUGAUACGUAUGAACUGGAGUGGGGAAGAGGGUCGUGGAAUUCCCAGUGUAGAGGUGAAAUUCGCAGAUAUUGGGAAGAACACCGGUGGCGAAGGCGGCGACCUGGUCCUUGACUGACGCUGAGGCGCGAAAGCGUGGGGAGCGAACAGG